RNAcentral lists this long non-coding RNA (206 nucleotides) under Medicago truncatula (barrel medic). RNAcentral's name for it is "long non-coding RNA (MTRU_LNC005996)". The record is from RNAcentral. Lineage: Eukaryota; Viridiplantae; Streptophyta; Magnoliopsida; Fabales; Fabaceae.
GUUUAUUAACUCACAGACAGUAGUGACUUUGGACACAAGGAAGGUGUGCACACAGUGUAGUACCAGAAUGCUGAUAAAGGAGUUGGCAGUGGAAACACCACUAUAGCAUGAGACUUUUUCCAGCCACCUUGCGCACAAUAAAUAACUCAGUCCUCUCUCAUUACUCACUAGUCACUUCUACUAGUUUAUUGAAAAAUCUCCUUCCC